AAAGAUUGAGGUGUAAAACCAUACAGAGUUUAUCCGAACUGUAUAUAGAUUAAUUUGAAUCAGCUAUCUAAACUUUCAAAAUUUUGAUUUAACUAUCCAACCUUUCAAUGUAUUUGAUUUGAGUUGGUCAACAAAACUUUGAGUUUAAAAUUUAAGCAAAUUACUUACUUAAUUUAAUAAAUUUAUAGUUGCAAAAGUUAUAUAAGCUAUAUUACUUAAAUUGUAAAGAUAAAUGACACAUUUCAAUUUUGAAGUCAAAUAAACUAAAUUAAAAGAUUGAAUAGUAAAAUUAAAAUUUUGAAAAACUGAGUAGCCAAAUCAAAAUUGUCGAUUUAAUUCAGAUAAAUUUUAUACGUUUUUACCUAAGCGAAGGUUUGAAAGGUACACUUAACUAUCCACUUCAUAAAAACCACGUCCCGAUCGCAGAAUCUCAUUUUUAUUCAUUUUUUUACUAUUCGUGAAACUAAUCUA
This 471-nucleotide long non-coding RNA is filed under the name Ananas comosus (pineapple). RNAcentral's name for it is "long non-coding RNA (ACOM_LNC042805)". Lineage: Eukaryota; Viridiplantae; Streptophyta; Magnoliopsida; Poales; Bromeliaceae. The record is from RNAcentral.